This is a long non-coding RNA of Xiphophorus hellerii (green swordtail), 535 nucleotides long. RefSeq lists it as uncharacterized. The record is from RefSeq and is a predicted model, not a curated record. The transcript has 2 exons. NCBI's taxonomy places the organism in Eukaryota, Metazoa, Chordata, Actinopteri, Cyprinodontiformes, Poeciliidae.
AAAUAUGAGCCUUCCCACUGCCGAGCUGUACAACAGCACUGUCACUUAUAAAUGUGACUUUAACAUUUAUAAGUAGCUGGUUUCUGAAAACCAUGGGCAGCCCUGCUGUACAAUUUAGUGGGGUUCUCUGUAGUCAGACCUAAAUAAAUAAAUGAAAAACUCCACAGAAUUGCAGGUAUCAGUGAAGGCAUUAUAGUCAGUAUAUGAUACUAUAGUGAUACUGACUAAAUGUGAUAGUCAGUAUCACAUUUUGACACUUUGAGCAUAAUCUAUUUAUAUAUUUUUAGGUCUCCAAAAUACAAUAGAUAUAAGUAUUUUGUUUAUGAAAAUAAAAUUAUCCUCCUUUUUUGAUGUUAAAUAAGUGCAGCAUCAAAAAUAUGAUAAAUUCUCUGCUGAAUCACAUUCACGUAUUGAUUACUCCAUGCUAACUCGCCAUUUUGCAGCAUGAACAGUAUUGCUCUUUUUGUUAAAUGUGUUUUGAUAUUCUCCUUAUGUUGUGAUUAAAAUGUCUAAUUCCAUUGGUGAGGAAUGCACA